RNAcentral lists this ribosomal RNA (253 nucleotides) under uncultured bacterium. Its description in RNAcentral is "partial 16S ribosomal RNA". It matches the Rfam family "Bacterial small subunit ribosomal RNA", at positions 524 to 776 of the family's 1533-position model. The record is from RNAcentral.
UACGUAGGGAGCAAGCGUUGUCCGGAAUCAUUGGGCGUAAAGCGCGCGUAGGUGGCCCGGUAAGUCCGCUCUGAAAGUCAAAGGCUCAACCUUUGAAAGCGGGUGGAUACUGCCAGGCUAGAGUCCGGAAGAGGCGAGUGGAAUUCCUGGUGUAGCGGUGGAAUGCGCAGAUAUCAGGAGGAACACCAACGGCGAAGGCAGCUCGCUGGGACGGUACUGACACUGAGGCGCGAAAUCGUGGGGAGCGAACAGG